This 254-nucleotide ribosomal RNA is filed under the name uncultured bacterium. Its description in RNAcentral is "partial 16S ribosomal RNA". It matches the Rfam family "Bacterial small subunit ribosomal RNA", at positions 524 to 776 of the family's 1533-position model. The record is from RNAcentral.
UACGUAGGGUCCAAGCGUUAUCCGGAAUCACUGGGCGUAAAGCGUGCGUAGGCGGGCGAGUAAGUGCGAUGCGAAAUCCUGUGGCUCAACCAUAUGGACUGUAUCGCAUACUGCUCAUCUUGAGGACGGCAGAGGCAAGUGGAACUGGCGGUGUAGCAGUGAAAUGCGUAGAUAUCGCCAAGAACACCAAUGGCGAAGGCAGCUUGCUGGGCCGACCCUGACGCUGAGGCACGAAAGCGUGGGGAGCGAACAGG